AGUGAACGCUGGCGGUAGGCCUAACACAUGCAAGUCGAACGGCAGCACAGUAAGAGCUUGCUCUUACGGGUGGCGAGUGGCGGACGGGUGAGGAAUACAUCGGAAUCUACUUUUUCGUGGGGGAUAACGUAGGGAAACGUACGCUAAUACCGCAUACGACCUACGGGUGAAAGCAGGGGAUCUUCGGACCUUGCGCGAUUGAAUGAGCCGAUGUCGGAUUAGCUAGUUGGCGGGGGAAAGGCCCACCAAGGCGACGAUCCGUAGCUGGUCUGAGAGGAUGAUCAGCCACACUGGAACUGGAACACGGUCCAGACUCCUACGGGAGGCAGCAGUGGGGAAUAUUGGACAAAGGGCGCAAGCCUGAUCCAGCCAUACCGCGUGGGUGAAGAAGGCCUUCGGGUUGUAAAGCACUUUUGUUGGGAAAGAAAAGCAGCAGGUUAAUACCCCGCUGUUCUGACGGUACCCAAAGAAUAAGCACCGGCUAACUUCGUG
RNAcentral lists this ribosomal RNA (492 nucleotides) under uncultured bacterium. RNAcentral's name for it is "partial 16S ribosomal RNA". It matches the Rfam family "Bacterial small subunit ribosomal RNA", at positions 29 to 507 of the family's 1533-position model. The record is from RNAcentral.